This 1319-nucleotide long non-coding RNA is filed under the name Ananas comosus (pineapple). RNAcentral's name for it is "long non-coding RNA (ACOM_LNC006323)". The record is from RNAcentral. Lineage: Eukaryota; Viridiplantae; Streptophyta; Magnoliopsida; Poales; Bromeliaceae.
AAUAUCAAUCCAUAUAUAUAUAUAUAUAUAUAUAUAUAUAUAUAGGCUAAUGUUACUAUCAUAUUAAUAGGAUAGAAGCACUUGUCCUAUCAAGUUGUUCUUGAUGAUCGAGAUUCCGAAUCGAUGAUCGGAGCCGUUGAAAUUGAUAUAGAGUAUUUGAAAUAUCUAGAAACUAAAUUUCAUAAAUUUUGAUAAUGGUUUACAUGGUGAUCAAAGUGUCGUAAAAUCAACAAUUUUUGACGGCCUAUAUGAGCCGUUUGCUUGUUUAACGGUGUAGAGCAAUCCAAAUUGCUUGAGUUUUUGAUAGAAAAUUUUUUAUACUAUUUAGAUAAUGUUUGAUAACUCUGAUUACGAACUAAGAAAGUCUAACCUCUGUUUUAAGUAGGUUAUUCAUUUAUGACCGUUCAUUUUUCAACUCUUAAGAUGAACUUGAUAAUGAUUUUUAAAUAUUACAAAAUUUGGUUUCUAAAUAUUUCUAAUUGUGUAGAUCAACUUCAACGGUGCCGAUUAUCAAUUUGAAGUUUUGAUCAUUCAAAUCGACUUGAUAGGACAAGGGUCCCAAUCCUAUUAAUAGGAUAGUAGCCGGACCCUAUAUAUAUAUAUAUAUAUAUAUAUAUAAAUAUAAAAUUAAGCUACAAUACUAUUAAUAGACCAAGUCUUUGAUGCUAUUAAGUUUUCGACUCUUAGAUGAAAGGAUGUGCGAUUAAGAUGAUAGUAGUCCUUCAGGGUUUAGUGGGUGGGUUAGUAGAGGAGUAUGAUCUAAGGAGUGGAAUGGUCAAAGGGAUUAGAUCUAAUAGUAGAAAACUUGGUAGUACCAAGUGCUUGAUGCUAUUGAUAGUAUUGCAGCCGGACUCUCUCCCUCUCUCUAUAUAUAUACAUAUAUUUGACCUAUUUUGACAUUAAUUGGGAUGUCUGUCCAAAGCAUUGGUAAUUUCAUGCAUUUACUAAUUGAGUGUGAAUCAAGCAUUACCUAUACGUAGGAAUGCCGACAGAAAUAUAGAAAGUGGUCCAUUCGACGUCUCAUUAGAAUAUAGAAAGUUGAUUUGAAUUGGUUACUGUGAGAUUUUUUUUUUUUUUUUUUUUUUCUCGAGAGAGAGAGAGAGAGAGAGAGAGAGAGAGAGAGAGAAAGCAAGCUAUGCAUCUGCUUUGUUUAUUUUUCAAAAUAGUCUUAGCUAGAAAUAUAAAAUAACUAGACUUUAAACUUAAAACUUCGAGUAUUAACUUUUAAGCUCUUAGCCAACUAUAAUAGAUAUUGUCAGUUUAUCGUAAAAAAUUUAUUUGUGAAGCAUAGUCUCAUACGAAAUGAAUAUUAAUAGAAG